UCUAUUUAGUUCUGGUCAGUUCCAACGUGAGCGGCCACAACCCAAGAUCUUCUCUAGAUAUGGUUUUCAAGCCUAAAGACUCAUCUUCUACUUACUGGUCGUUCCCCCAGCUGGAUGAUGGCUCUCUUCAGGCUCUCUGAAACAACAGGCUUGGGUGGGAAAGCACCAUCCUUCUUUGGAAACAGGCUCACAGCUUUUCUAAAGAGGGCACUAGUCUUAACUCCUCCUAUAGCUACCACUUUGCAGUUACCACUCCUAAGUGCUUCAGUGCAGAUGCAAUUGGCUUUGUAAACUCUGAAAAACUCAAAAUUACAGGAUUCUCAAUUAACCCAGAUUACAGGUUAUAACAAAGAGCUCCUCCCUUAGCAAAGUUGUACAGAGUAGCUAGCUCUAAUUUGCAUUGCUCUAUCUCUUUUUCUCUAGUAGCACUUUGUUAAAAGUAGCAAGAAGGAACCAGAAAACACUAACAUUCUAAAUGUCCCUACCUUUUUACAUUGCUACAACCUUAGUUAACCCAUGAUAUACAAGGUGAGGUAGCUAGUAUCUGAAGAUUGCUCCCAAUGAACCAAAUCUCCCAGUGUUCACACUCUGGUGUAGAAUCUCUCCUUUAAGUCUGAACUGAUCCUGUGACUUACUUUAAAGCCUUAAGAAGAUCUGGCAGCUUUCAGUUUUUGUAUACUUGGGAUCCAGCUGUCAUGUAAAAAAGCCCAAGCUAAGCCACAUGGAGAGAGAGGUCACAGCCCUUGCAGCCAUCCCACCACAACGCCACACACACACGAGUGAAGUCAUCUUGAAUAUUCCAUCUCCAGCUACCAUCUGACAGAAACCCAUCAAAGACCCUUGUGAGACUGGCAGAAGUUGAUUACAGUCAACCAACAGAAUUGUGAGAGUUUCUGGGAACCAGGAGCCUUCUCUCUUGUUCCACCAUCCUCAACACAUAGCUUUUCUCGUAUGGUCCAAGAUGCUUGCUCAAGCUCCAGCCUUUUAACCCAUGGAAGGUGAAGGGAACAAAGAAAGAUAGGGCCGGCCGAGUGGCGCAAUGGUUAAGAAC
Hipposideros armiger (great roundleaf bat) is the source of this 1051-nucleotide long non-coding RNA. RefSeq lists it as uncharacterized. The transcript has 3 exons. The record is from RefSeq and is a predicted model, not a curated record. NCBI's taxonomy places the organism in Eukaryota, Metazoa, Chordata, Mammalia, Chiroptera, Hipposideridae.